AGAGGGAGCUGUGGUUCUUCUGAGACAUGCCUAGUUCUGUCUGAAUUAGCUUCCCCAGCCAAGCUUUCCGAUCACUUGUCUGCUCCCCCCUCCGCCCCAUUCUUUCUCUCUCUUGUCUCUCGCACUCACUUACUCUUCCAUCUUUUGCCACUGUGCCAGAUAAAUUUAAAUGUAUCUGUUCAAGUGAAGAUAAUCCAUGCAAAUCAGAGCCACUGGCUCCCAAGUGCUCGAUUCACAAAGAGAGCGGUGCUUCAGGAGGUCACUCGUUCACAGCUGCUCCUCCCAUUAUAUUUUUCCCCCUUACAGCAGAAUUGCUGCUUGUAUACAGUGACUGAAAGGACUCAAUUUACUGCAACUGCUGCCUGGUUUUCCUUACAACUUUCUUUUAAAGAGGGACAUACCUUCCAGCUAUCUUGCCAAGAAAGACAGUCCCUUCCAGAAGAAGGUGUAGUCUCCUUUUUCUUCCUUCAGACCUCCCUCUCCUGCUCUCCUGGAGUAUUGGUAUAUCAAUGUUAAAACGUAUCAGCUCGCUUACAAUAAUAUCAGUCCUGCAUUUAGGGCAUUCAUGACAGCCUACAGGUUCACUGAAACAAGCAAGUCCCCUCACCACAACAAGGUGAGGAGAAAACUGACUAUGUAUCUCAUAAAUAUGUAUAUGUGUGUGCAUAAAAUAAACUUUUCUUAAAUUUUUACAUAUAAAAUACCUUUAGCUAUCUAUAUAUCUGUUUUGUUGUUUGUAUUUCAAUACGAGACCUAAUGUGAAAGAGGUGAUGGUGGUCUUUGACUGAAAAUAUUGCCACUACCUUAAUUUUAGACAGCUGAUAACACCAACAUUAUCAAUAAACACCAAUAAGAUAAUUGUUUUGCUUUUGGUCAAGACCAAUGAACCAAAAUUAAGAGAAAUGGCUAUGUAUAUAGAGUAGGCUUGUGCAUUUCUGCUGGACCUCAAUCCAUUUCUGCUACCUAAAUUCCGAGUGCCUCUCAAAAAUGGGAGGCCAGCCAAAUAGCUGUUUUUAGUCUACAAUCGAAAAAUACAGCUUGAUCUUGCCCAUUGGCAGCAAUAGGGGGAUUUCAAGGGCUCCUCCCCCCAUCAUUUACAAACCCUUGGAAGAGUAUUAUAUUAACAACACUAACCUGUUAUUAUUUUGAUUAUUAUUAAUUGAAAUUUAGAAGGCUGAGAGUACAGAGAGAAAUAGAAACAGAGAACUUGUUUUCAAGGGAAUGAAAAUGUAUUGGUGGUAAGGUUAGGGAAGUAGAUAGUAGUUUUCUGAGAAUGAGGUUUUGUUGUUUGCUGGAAUUAUUAUUAUUAUUAUUAUUAUUAUUAUUAUUAUUAUUAUUAUUAUCAAUAAUAUAUUUUUUAAAGUGAUUUCUCUAGGAGGGAAGGGAAAAGAAAAAAUAUAAGGAGAGGAGAGAAGAGAAGAAGCUAAAGGGUGAUUUAAGGCUUAAAACCACACUAAAGAAAAGUACAUCCACCCACCCAAGAGAUGCUUUCUUUUUUCUCCCAAGUCCCCAAAAGUGCACACCCACCCACUCACCUACACUUUCUAUCUCCCAGUCCCACUAAAUAUAAAAUAAUCAAAAGGAUUCAAUUAUAGAAGCCAUGCUAAGUCAAAAUUGAAAGCAGCAGAGCUGUGAGCGAGUGGCAAGGCAAGGCAGCAUCUCUCAGAGCCAAGAGACAACUGAGCGCAGUGGAGACACUCACCCCAUUAAAUAGACACAGCUUGUGCCAUGGUGUUCUUCUACUCUGAUUCACCCAAAAGGCAGAGCUAUCAGAGAAACCCUGUGCGAGCAUGUGGCAGCCUCUCCAUGCGCCAUGUGAUCCUGAGUAGAAGGAAAGAAGUUACACCCGUGGGCUGUCUUGGGUGAAAGAACAUGACAGCUGGGCCCUUGCCAUUACAGCUAGUUGGAGAAGAUGAAGAAGCCAAAGAAAAAUGGCUAAAACAGAUCCAUGCACAAGUCUAAUAUAAAGCAUUUGAGUAGAUGAUGUUUGUCUUGUUGUUCUUGUUCUCUGACAUCUAACUAUUAAAAAAUUAAAGUUUUACAGACACAAAUUAUUCAUCAGAGGAAACAAAAUGAAGCUUGACAUUAACAAAAUGUCAAGUGUCCUGCUUUAAGCCAUGACAGGGCUUGCAUUCAAGAUAAUAAGAUAAACUUACAUUUCACAAAGUAUAGAAUAUAAAAGCUUCCAGUUAACAAUGCCAUUUUGCUAACCAGAAGAAAGUUACACCUUUAAAAAUCUGACCUUUUUCGAGUAGGAGAGGCUUUCAUUUUCUUCUUCACCACUCAGCACUCAGAAGGAGUAGGCUGGCCAAUCUGAGAGCCUUAUUGGAGCGAUUAAUAACCUCCUGUCCUGCAACUAUCCUACUAACAAUGCCAAAAGCAUUUUAUCUACAUCUUAUUACAUCCAACUUCUGUAUCUAUGAAAGUAUUAGUAUUUUAUAAGAGUAUACAGAAUUAUUAAAACUAAAAAUGUAAGAGGCAAACUGACAAUGAAGAAACCUUUGGUGAUGGUCCCUAAUGCAUGAUGCUUCCCGUGUCCUGCUGUUGAUCUGCCUCCUCCCUGUGAUAAACUUAUUCCCCAUAUUGUCGGGAUAAACUGUCAAUAGCUGUAAAUCACAUCCUGUUCCAAUCAACUAGCUGGUGCAAUGUGGCUGUUCUGCUUCUGUGCU
This 2669-nucleotide long non-coding RNA is filed under the name Anolis carolinensis (green anole). RNAcentral's name for it is "lncRNA (ENSACAG00000044685.1)". The record is from RNAcentral. Lineage: Eukaryota; Metazoa; Chordata; Lepidosauria; Squamata; Anolidae.